CACCCUUUUUCAGAUAAUGAAAAAUGAUUUCAUCACACAAUGAAUGUUCUUGACUAAAUUUAAAAUAUGUAUCUCAACUUGUAUCGAUGAAAAUAUAUUGGAUUGAAAGUUCCAAAAUAUAUAAACUAGGAAAAUUGAUACAUCCACUCAUGAAAUCAAAACAUAAGAAACUGAAAUGGGAAUCAUAUACCUCUUGAUCUGACUUUCAUUUUCAAAAGGUUGUUCUGAUUCGUGCAUGAAGCCGCAUCUGAAUGAUGAACCUUCCC
This 266-nucleotide long non-coding RNA is filed under the name Trifolium pratense (red clover). RNAcentral's name for it is "long non-coding RNA (TPRA_LNC007615)". Lineage: Eukaryota; Viridiplantae; Streptophyta; Magnoliopsida; Fabales; Fabaceae. The record is from RNAcentral.